CCUACGGGCGGCAGCAGUGAGGAAUAUUGGUCAAUGGACGCAAGUCUGAACCAGCCAUGCCGCGUGCAGGAAGACGGCGCUAUGAGUUGUAAACUGCUUUUGUACAGGGAUAAACGCAGGCACGCGUAUCUGUCUGAAAGUAUUGUACGAAUAAGGAUCGGCUAACUCCGUGCCAGCAGCCGCGGUAAUACGGAGGAUUCGCGCGUUAUCCGGAUUUAUUGGGUUUAAAGGGUGCGUAGGCGGUCGGUUAAGUUAGAGGGGAAAGUCCGCGGCUCAACUUCGGAAUUGCCUUUGAUACUGUGUGGCUUGAGAGUAGUGGAGGUAGGCGGAAUGUGUGGUGUAGCGGUGAAAUGCUUAGAGAUCGUACAGAACUCCGAUUGCGAAGGCAGCUUACCAGGCUCCUUCUGACGUUGAGGCACGAAAGCGUGGGUAGCAAACAGGAUUAGAUACCCUAGUAGUC
This 460-nucleotide ribosomal RNA is filed under the name uncultured bacterium. RNAcentral describes it as "partial 16S ribosomal RNA". It matches the Rfam family "Bacterial small subunit ribosomal RNA", at positions 338 to 795 of the family's 1533-position model. The record is from RNAcentral.